Molecule: ribosomal RNA, 1960 nt
Filed under: Klebsiella pneumoniae
Lineage: Bacteria; Pseudomonadati; Pseudomonadota; Gammaproteobacteria; Enterobacterales; Enterobacteriaceae
Description: partial 23S ribosomal RNA
Rfam family: Bacterial large subunit ribosomal RNA
Source: RNAcentral
GGUCAAGUGAAGAAGCGCAUACGGUGGAUGCCUUGGCAGUCAGAGGCGAUGAAAGACGUGGUAGCCUGCGAAAAGCUUCGGGGAGUCGGCAAACAGACUUUGAUCCGGAGAUCUCUGAAUGGGGGAACCCACCUAGGAUAACCUAGGUAUCUUGUACUGAAUCCAUAGGUGCAAGAGGCGAACCAGGGGAACUGAAACAUCUAAGUACCCUGAGGAAAAGAAAUCAACCGAGAUUCCCUUAGUAGUGGCGAGCGAACGGGGAUUAGCCCUUAAGCUUCAUUGAUUUUAGCGGAACGCUCUGGAAAGUGCGGCCAUAGUGGGUGAUAGCCCCGUACGCGAAAGGAUCUUUGAAGUGAAAUCGAGUAGGACGGAGCACGAGAAACUUUGUCUGAACAUGGGGGGACCAUCCUCCAAGGCUAAAUACUACUGACUGACCGAUAGUGAACCAGUACCGUGAGGGAAAGGCGAAAAGAACCCCGGAGAGGGGAGUGAAAUAGAACCUGAAACCGUAUGCGUACAAGCAGUGGGAGCCUACUUGUUAGGUGACUGCGUACCUUUUGUAUAAUGGGUCAGCGACUUAUAUUCAGUGGCAAGCUUAACCGUAUAGGGUAGGCGUAGCGAAAGCGAGUCUUAAUAGGGCGUUUAGUCGCUGGGUAUAGACCCGAAACCGGGCGAUCUAUCCAUGAGCAGGUUGAAGGUUAGGUAACACUGACUGGAGGACCGAACCCACUCCCGUUGAAAAGGUAGGGGAUGACUUGUGGAUCGGAGUGAAAGGCUAAUCAAGCUCGGAGAUAGCUGGUUCUCCUCGAAAGCUAUUUAGGUAGCGCCUCAUGUAUCACUCUGGGGGGUAGAGCACUGUUUCGGCUAGGGGGUCAUCCCGACUUACCAAACCGAUGCAAACUCCGAAUACCCAGAAGUGCCGAGCAUGGGAGACACACGGCGGGUGCUAACGUCCGUCGUGAAAAGGGAAACAACCCAGACCGCCAGCUAAGGUCCCAAAGUUGUGGUUAAGUGGUAAACGAUGUGGGAAGGCUUAGACAGCUAGGAGGUUGGCUUAGAAGCAGCCACCCUUUAAAGAAAGCGUAAUAGCUCACUAGUCGAGUCGGCCUGCGCGGAAGAUGUAACGGGGCUCAAACCACACACCGAAGCUGCGGGUGUCACGCAAGUGACGCGGUAGAGGAGCGUUCUGUAAGCCUGUGAAGGUGAGUUGAGAAGCUUGCUGGAGGUAUCAGAAGUGCGAAUGCUGACAUGAGUAACGACAAUGGGUGUGAAAAACACCCACGCCGAAAGACCAAGGGUUCCUGCGCAACGUUAAUCGACGCAGGGUUAGUCGGUUCCUAAGGCGAGGCUGAAAAGCGUAGUCGAUGGGAAACAGGUUAAUAUUCCUGUACUUCUGGUUACUGCGAUGGAGGGACGGAGAAGGCUAGGCCAGCUUGGCGUUGGUUGUCCAAGUUUAAGGUGGUAGGCUGAAAUCUUAGGUAAAUCCGGGGUUUCAAGGCCGAGAGCUGAUGACGAGUCGUCUUUUAGAUGACGAAGUGGUUGAUGCCAUGCUUCCAAGAAAAGCUUCUAAGCUUCAGGUAACCAGGAACCGUACCCCAAACCGACACAGGUGGUCGGGUAGAGAAUACCAAGGCGCUUGAGAGAACUCGGGUGAAGGAACUAGGCAAAAUGGCACCGUAACUUCGGGAGAAGGUGCGCCGGCUAGGGUGAAGGAUUUACUCCGUAAGCUCUGGCUGGUCGAAGAUACCAGGCCGCUGCGACUGUUUAUUAAAAACACAGCACUCUGCAAACACGAAAGUGGACGUAUAGGGUGUGACGCCUGCCCGGUGCCGGAAGGUUAAUUGAUGGGGUUAGCGCAAGCGAAGCUCUUGAUCGAAGCCCCGGUAAACGGCGGCCGUAACUAUAACGGUCCUAAGGUAGCGAAAUUCCUUGUCGGGUAAGUUCCGACCUGCACGAAUGG